GUGGGGAAUAUUGGGCAAUGGGGGCAACCCUGACCCAGCGACGCCGCGUGAGGGAAGAAGGCCUUCGGGUUGUAAACCUCUUUUGUAUGGGAAGAAGGACGUGACGGUACCGUACGAAUAAGUCCCGGCUAACUACGUGCCAGCAGCCGCGGUAAUACGUAGGGGACGAGCGUUGUCCGGAAUUACUGGGCGUAAAGGGCGCGCAGGCUGUGCUGCAAGUCAGCUGUGAAAUAUCUGGGCUUAACCCGGUUAUGCGGUUGAGACUGCAGUGCUGGAGUGCUGUAGAGGCAAGCGGAAUUCCCAGUGUAGCGGUGAAAUGCGUAGAUAUUGGGAAGAACACCGGUGGCAAAGGCGGCUUGCUGGGCAGCAACUGACGCUGAGGCGCGAAAGCCAGGGGAGCAAACGGGAUUAGAUACCCGGGUAGUCC
This 427-nucleotide ribosomal RNA is filed under the name uncultured bacterium. RNAcentral's name for it is "partial 16S ribosomal RNA". It matches the Rfam family "Bacterial small subunit ribosomal RNA", at positions 354 to 796 of the family's 1533-position model. The record is from RNAcentral.